Molecule: non-coding RNA, 1750 nt
Organism: Capsicum annuum
Lineage: Eukaryota; Viridiplantae; Streptophyta; Magnoliopsida; Solanales; Solanaceae
Source: Rfam
UGCCUGGUUUAUACUUCCAGUAGUCAUAUGCUUGUCUCAAAGAUUAAGCCAUGCAUGUGUAAGUAUGAAUAAAUUCAGACUGUGAAACUGCGAAUGGCUCAUUAAAUCAGUUAUAGUUUGUUUGAUGGUAUCUACUACUCGGAUAACUGUAGUAAUUCUAGAGCUAAUACAUGCAACAAACCCCUACUUCUAGAUGGGAUGCAUUUACUAGAUAAAAGGUCAUUCAUGAUAACACAACGGAUCACACAACCAUCGUGCCGGUGAUGCAUCGUUUAAAUUUCUGUCCUAUUAAGUUUUAAUGGUAGGAUAGUGGCCAACCAUGGUGGUGAUGGGUGACUGAGAAUUAGGGUUUUAUUUUGGAGAGAGAGCCUUAGAAAUGGCUACCACAUCUAAGGAAGGCAGCAGGCGCGCAAAUUAUCCAAUCCUGACAGGGGAGGUAGUGACAAUAAAUAACAAUACCGGGAUCAAUGAGUCUGGUAUUUGGAAUGAGUACAAUCUAAAUCCCUUAACGAGGAUCCAUUGGAGGGAGAGUCUGGUGCCGACAGAAGUGGUAAUUCCAGUACCAAUAGCUUAUAUUUAAGUUGUUGCAGUUAAAAAGCUCAAAGUUGAACUUUGGGAUUGGCUGGCCGGUCUACCUAUGGUGUGAAUUGGUCGUCUUGUCCUUUCUGUCGGCGAUGCGCUCCUGGCCUUAACUGGCCGGGUCGUGCCUCCAGCACUGUUACUUUGAAAAAAUUAGAGUGCUUAAAGUAAGCCUACACUCUGUAUACAUUAGCAUGGGAUAACAUUAUAGGAUUUUGGUCCUAUUACAUUAGCCUUCGGGAUCGGAGUAAUGAUUAACAGGGAUAGUCGGGGGCAUUCGUAUUUUAAAGUCAGAGGUGAAAUUAUUGGAUUUAUGAAAUACGAACAACUGUGAAAUCAUUUUCUAAGGAUGUUUUCAUUAAUCAAGAACGAAAUUUGGGGGCUCAAAGGCGAUCAGAUACUAUCCUAGUCUCAUUCAUAAAUGAUGCCAACCAGGUAUCGGCGGAUAUUACUAUUAGGAUUCCGACGGCACCUUAUGAGAAAUCAAUGUUUUUGGGUUCCGGGGGGAGUAUUGUCGCAAGGAUGAAACUUAAAGGAAUUGUCAGAAGGGCACCAAUAGGAGUGGAGCCUGCGACUUAAUUUGACUCAACACGAGGAAACUUAUCAGGUAUAAACGUAGUAAGGAUUGACAAACGAAGACCUCUUUCUUGAUUCUAUUGGUGGUGGUGCAUGGCCGUUUUUAGUUGGUGGAGUGAUUUUUCUAGUUAAUUCCGUUAACGAAUGAGACCUCAGCCUACUGACUAGCUAUGCAGAGGUAUCCCUUCGCGGCCAGCUUCUUAGAGGGACUACGACCUUUUAGACCGCGAAAGUUUGAGGCAAUAACAGGUUUGUGAUGCCCUUAGAUGUUCUGGACCACACCAGCGCUAUACUGAUGUAUUCAAUGAGUUUAUAGCCUUGGCCAACAGGCCUAGGUAGAUCAUUCCAAUUGGUGGUCUUCAACGAGGAAUUCCUUGUAAGCGCCAGUCAUCAACAUGCGUUGACUACGUCCCUGCCCUUUGUACACUCCGCCUGUCACUCCUGCCAAUUGAAUGAUCCAGGUGAAAUGUUCGGAUCGCAGCGACGUGGGCGGUUCGCUGCCCGCGGCGUCGCGAGAAGUCCAUUGAAACUUAACAUUUAAAGAAGGAGAAUUCGUAACAAGGUUUCCGUAGGUGAACCUGCGGAAGGAUCAUUG